This is a long non-coding RNA of Ictalurus punctatus (channel catfish), 602 nucleotides long. NCBI's taxonomy places the organism in Eukaryota, Metazoa, Chordata, Actinopteri, Siluriformes, Ictaluridae. The record is from Ensembl.
CCGGUGGCUCCUUCUCUCUCCGAAGCCUCCAGUGGCGGAGAUUCAGCAGCUCGGGAGAAAGGAAUAAUAAUAAGAAGGAUAAUGAUGAUGAUGAUGAUCAUGAUACCGAUACCGAAGUUAUCUUCCCGAACCGAGCCGAGAGCGCGUGGCCGGGAGGAAAGGAGCGCGUAACCGCGGCGCGCGGAGCCGUGCCUGUGUGUGCGCGCCCCCGCCCCGCUUCCCUCUCUGAUUAAGGCUUUAUUCCAGCAGCAGCAGCAGUGUUAAUGACCCUCUCACUGCUCUGGACUUGUCUAGUGUGUGUGUGUAGAGUGAGUGAGUGAGUGUGAGUGAGUGGUGAGACGAGCAAUGUUCCGAGAGAGCUGCUGGAGAGCGUUCGGGAUGCAGUGGGGAGGAAAAUCAAGCUGGGCCUUAAGAAGAAAGUCAAACUGGAGGUCAAAGGAGAUAAAGUAGAGAACAGAGUCCUGGUGAGUAGCAGCUCCACGACACACACACACACACACACACACACACACACACACACACGCACUUGGAUCUCAAUUCUAAACCCUUCUCAGGAUUGAUUUUUGCUUUACACCUUUGUCUCUGAGUGAGAUGGAGAACGC